CCCUUAGAUGUUCUGGGCUGCACGCGCGCUACACUGAAGCGUUCAACGAGUAUUCACCUUGCCCGGGAGGGUUGGGUAAUCUUUUGAAAACGCUUCGUGAUGGGGAUAGAUUAUUGCAAUUAUUAAUCUUCAACGAGGAAUUCCUAGUAAGCGCGAGUCAUCAGCUCGUGCUGAUUACGUCCCUGCCCUUUGUACACACCGCCCGUCGCUGCUACCGAUUGAGUGUCCUGGUGAAUUAUUCGGACCGACAGCAUCGGAAGUUUCUUCUGUUGCCGUUGGAAAGUCUUGUAAACCCUGACACUUAGAGGAAGCAGAAGUCGUAACA
This 325-nucleotide ribosomal RNA is filed under the name uncultured eukaryote. RNAcentral's name for it is "partial 18S ribosomal RNA". It matches the Rfam family "Eukaryotic small subunit ribosomal RNA", at positions 1470 to 1796 of the family's 1831-position model. The record is from RNAcentral.